Molecule: transfer RNA, 82 nt
Filed under: Ixodes scapularis (black-legged tick)
Lineage: Eukaryota; Metazoa; Arthropoda; Arachnida; Ixodida; Ixodidae
Description: tRNA-Phe
Rfam family: tRNA
About the family: Transfer RNA (tRNA) molecules are approximately 80 nucleotides in length. Their secondary structure includes four short double-helical elements and three loops (D, anti-codon, and T loops). Further hydrogen bonds mediate the characteristic L-shaped molecular structure. tRNAs have two regions of fundamental functional importance: the anti-codon, which is responsible for specific mRNA codon recognition, and the 3' end, to which the tRNAs corresponding amino acid is attached (by aminoacyl-tRNA synthetases). tRNAs cope with the degeneracy of the genetic code in two manners: having more than one tRNA (with a specific anti-codon) for a particular amino acid; and 'wobble' base-pairing, i.e. permitting non-standard base-pairing at the 3rd anti-codon position.
Source: Rfam by way of RNAcentral
GCAGUAGUGGCCGAGUGGUUAAGGCGAUGGACUAAAAAUCCAUUGGGGUCUCCCCGCACAGGUUCGAAUCCUGUCGACUGCG